This is a long non-coding RNA of Stylophora pistillata, 217 nucleotides long. The record is from RefSeq and is a predicted model, not a curated record. NCBI's taxonomy places the organism in Eukaryota, Metazoa, Cnidaria, Anthozoa, Scleractinia, Pocilloporidae.
GCUGCGAAAAGCUGUGGGUUUUGUAGAGGUUGUCUUGACUAUUCGGAUUUUGGUGUCUUCCCAUCAGCGAAGGAAAAUCUUGCUUACUUAGUACAAAGUUGACAGAAACAGUUGGGAGUCAUCAUUUCAAUAAUGGAUGCCAGAGAUAAAGAUGGCGUUAUUCAGAAAGUCCAGAGUGAACUGGAUAAACUCAAGCAAGCUUUGAAAUGUUCAGCAG